This 252-nucleotide ribosomal RNA is filed under the name uncultured bacterium. Its description in RNAcentral is "partial 16S ribosomal RNA". It matches the Rfam family "Bacterial small subunit ribosomal RNA", at positions 525 to 776 of the family's 1533-position model. The record is from RNAcentral.
ACGGAGGGUGCAAGCGUUAUCCGGAAUUACUGGGUUUAAAGGGUGCGUAGGCGGCUAUAUAAGUCAGGAGUGAAAGGUUCCCGCUAAACGGGAGACGGUCUUUUGAUACUGUAUAGCUUGAAUAAGGUUGAGGUUAGCGGAAUGUGACAUGUAGCGGUGAAAUGCAUAGAUAUGUCAUAGAACACCAAUUGCGAAGGCAGCUGGCUAGACCUUUAUUGACGCUGAGGCACGAAAGCGUGGGGAGCGAACAGG